RNAcentral lists this ribosomal RNA (460 nucleotides) under uncultured bacterium. Its description in RNAcentral is "partial 16S ribosomal RNA". It matches the Rfam family "Bacterial small subunit ribosomal RNA", at positions 338 to 795 of the family's 1533-position model. The record is from RNAcentral.
CCUACGGGAGGCUGCAGUGAGGAAUAUUGGUCAAUGGACGAGAGUCUGAACCAGCCAAGUAGCGUGAAGGAUGACUGCCCUAUGGGUUGUAAACUUCUUUUAUAUGGGAAUAAAACGUUCCACGUGUGGGAUUUUGUAUGUACCAUAUGAAUAAGGAUUGGCUAACUCCGUGCCAGCAGCCGCGGUAAUACGGAGGAUCCGAGCGUUAUCCGGAUUUAUUGGGUUUAAAGGGAGAGUAGGUGGAUUGUUAAGUCAGUUGUGAAAGUUUGCGGCUCAACCGUAAAAUUGCAGUUGAAACUGGCAGUCUUGAGUACAGUAGAGGUGGGCGGAAUUCGUGGUGUAGCGGUGAAAUGCUUAGAUAUCACGAAGAACUCCGAUUGCGAAGGCAGUUCACUGGACUGAAACUGACACUGAGGCUCGAAAGUGUGGGUAUCAAACAGGAUUAGAUACCCGGGUAGUC